GGAAUUACUGGGCGUAAAGCGUGCGCAGGCGGUUCGGAAAGAAAGAUGUGAAAUCCCAGAGCUUAACUUUGGAACUGCAUUUUUAACUACCGGGCUAGAGUGUGUCAGAGGGAGGUGGAAUUCCGCGUGUAGCAGUGAAAUGCGUAGAUAUGCGGAGGAACACCGAUGGCGAAGGCAGCCUCCUGGGAUAACACUGACGCUCAUGCACGAAAGCGUGGGGAGCAAACAGGAUUAGAUACCCUGGUAGUCCACGCCCUAAACGAUGUCAACUAGCUGUUGGGGCCUUCGGGCCUUGGUAGCGCAGCUAACGCGUGAAGUUGACCGCCUGGGGAGUACGGUCGCAAGAUUAAAACUCAAAGGAAUUGACGGGGACCCGCACAAGCGGUGGAUGAUGUGGAUUAAUUCGAUGCAACGCGAAAAACCUUACCUACCCUUGACAUGUC
Molecule: ribosomal RNA, 443 nt
Filed under: Achromobacter sp. PCL5
Lineage: Bacteria; Pseudomonadati; Pseudomonadota; Betaproteobacteria; Burkholderiales; Alcaligenaceae
Description: bacterial SSU rRNA
Rfam family: Bacterial small subunit ribosomal RNA
Source: RNAcentral